RNAcentral lists this transfer RNA (69 nucleotides) under Phagocata gracilis. RNAcentral describes it as "tRNA-Thr". Lineage: Eukaryota; Metazoa; Platyhelminthes; Tricladida; Planariidae. The record is from RNAcentral.
UCCUCCAAAGUUCAAAAUUGAACAUUAAUUUUGUAAAUUAAAAGAUGAUUGCUCUAAGAUCAGAAGGAA